AGUCGUAACAAGGUUUCCGUAGGUGAACCUGCGGAAGGAUCAUUAAAGAAAUUUAAUAAUUUUGAAAAUGGAUUUUUUUGUUUUGGCAAGAGCAUGAGAGCUUUUACUGGGCAAGAAGACAAGAGAUGGAGAGUCCAGCCGGGCCUGCGCUUAAGUGCGCGGUCUUGCUAGGCUUGUAAGUUUCUUUCUUGCUAUUCCAAACGGUGAGAGAUUUCUGUGCUUUUGUUAUAGGACAAUUAAAACCGUUUCAAUACAACACACUGUGGAGUUUUCAUAUCUUUGCAACUUUUUCUUUGGGCAUUCGAGCAAUCGGGGCCCAGAGGUAACAAACACAAACAAUUUUAUCUAUUCAUUAAAUUUUUGUCAAAAACAAGAAUUUUCGUAACUGGAAAUUUUAAAAUAUUAAAAACUUUCAACAACGGAUCUCUUGGUUCUCGCAUCGAUGAAGAACGCAGCGAAAUGCGAUACGUAAUGUGAAUUGCAGAAUUCCGUGAAUCAUCGAAUCUUUGAACGCACAUUGCGCCCCUUGGUAUUCCAGGGGGCAUGCCUGUUUGAGCGUCAUUUCCUUCUCAAACAUUCUGUUUGGUAGUGAGUGAUACUCUUUGGAGUUAACUUGAAAUUGCUGGCCUUUUCAUUGGAUGUUUUUUUUCCAAAGAGAGGUUUCUCUGCGUGCUUGAGGUAUAAUGCAAGUACGGUCGUUUUAGGUUUUACCAACUGCGGCUAAUCUUUUUUUAUACUGAGCGUAUUGGAACGUUAUCGAUAAGAAGAGAGCGUCUAGGCGAACAAUGUUCUUAAAGUUUGACCUCAAAUCAGGUAGGAGUACCCGCUGAACUUAAGCAUAUCAAUAAGCGGAGGAAA
This 858-nucleotide ribosomal RNA is filed under the name uncultured eukaryote. RNAcentral describes it as "eukaryotic LSU rRNA". The stretch from base 408 to 561 matches the Rfam family "5.8S ribosomal RNA". The record is from RNAcentral.